This 468-nucleotide ribosomal RNA is filed under the name uncultured bacterium. Its description in RNAcentral is "partial 16S ribosomal RNA". It matches the Rfam family "Bacterial small subunit ribosomal RNA", at positions 28 to 507 of the family's 1533-position model. The record is from RNAcentral.
GACGAACGCUGGCGGCGUGCUUAACACAUGCAAGUCGAACGGAAAGGCCCUGCUUUUGUGGGGUGCUCGAGUGGCGAACGGGUGAGUAACACGUGAGUAACCUGCCCUUGACUUUGGGAUAACUUCAGGAAACUGGGGCUAAUACCGGAUAGGAGCUCCUGCUGCAUGGUGGGGGUUGGAAAGUUUCGGCGGUUGGGGAUGGACUCGCGGGUUAUCAGCUUGUUGGGGGGGUAGUGGCUUACGAAGGCUUUGACGGGUAGCCGGCCUGAGAGGGUGACCGGCCACAUUGGGACUGAGAUACGGCCCAGACUCCUACGGGAGGCAGCAGUGGGGAAUAUUGCACAAUGGGCGGAAGCCUGAUGCAGCAACGCCGCGUGCGGGAUGACGGCUUUCGGGUGGUAAACCGCUUUCGCCUGUGACGAAGCGGGAGUGACGGUAAUGGGUAAAGAAGCACCGGCUAACUACGUG